Molecule: ribosomal RNA, 206 nt
Filed under: uncultured bacterium
Lineage: Bacteria
Description: partial 16S ribosomal RNA
Rfam family: Bacterial small subunit ribosomal RNA
Source: RNAcentral
CUCGUAGGUGGCCAACUAAGUCAGACGUGAAAUCCCUCGGCUUAACCGGGGAACUGCGUCUGAUACUGGAUGGCUUGAGUUUGGGAGAGGGACGCGGAAUUCCAGGUGUAGCGGUGAAAUGCGUAGAUAUCUGGAGGAACACCGGUGGCGAAGGCGGCGUCCUGGCCAACACUGACACUGAUGAGCGAAAGCCAGGGGAGCAAACG